CACAUGCACCUGUCCCGCAGCAUCACACGGUGCGAAAAGAUCACUUCUUCUUUUUCUCCUUCAUCUUCCUCUUCCAUGCUGAGGGCCAGGUGGCAGUUACAGCAAAUCCACGCCGUGUGUGUACAGCGAUUAGCUCGCAGUGAGAGGCAGCUCGCCCCCCGGACCUAUACACGCUACAGACUAACACUAGCCGUGGCUGAGCUUCGUCUACAUGGCUGCCGAGACAAGCAGAUGUAGGUGUGCCAACAACAGCUGCGCACUGACGAGAGACCAGUCCGGGGAAAACAGGAUAAAGUGGGAGACGGAAGCCCCGGGACAAAGAAAAUGGAUGGGAGGUAUUAGAGCGAACAGAGACGUCUUUGACUGGAGCGUAUUCAAAGACUGGAGAAGGAGAUGGCUGCAGUCGUCAGCAGCUGCUCAGGAUGUAAACUUGCCUUUUCAAGUGUUUGCGCAGCUUCCACCUCAGUAUCAGCGUGCAGAACACCAAAGUCACAGAGGACGUCCACUUUCCCACCUCUCUGCACCAGACUCUGCAGCGGGACGUGCACAGAGCCAAUGGUUCUUUGGAUGGAGGCCUCCUGCACUAGCUCUGGCACCGAUUUCUUCUUUUUGUCUUUAGACUUAUCUUUGGUGGAACCAGAUUUAAUUGGAGACUAUGGAGGAAACAUAGACAGGAAAUUCUGAAAAUGAUAUGCAGCCAAAUCGCCCAAAGCAGACUUGUGUGAGCAGCUCUGGUGGACUUUUGAUAUAUUGAAAUAAGUGGAACUCAACUCAUUAAUAAAACCAUGAUACAGAGACAGACAUGUUGUCCUCUGUCCGGACAAACAAAAACAUAAAUUACACGUGACAAUAGUUUUGCAAGUCAGGUUUUUUUUUUUAAGGGUAAAAUAAAAAAUCUUGCUCUCUCCGAAAAAGUCCAACUGUAAUUCCGUCACACUAGGGUAUUGACUGGUAGUGACAAAAACUGUGAUAUUAUAAGAUUAAACGGCACUAAGUGAAAUUCUGAUAUCUCGUCAAUCAUAGAUAAAACUAAAAUAAGAAUGACCAUACACUUCCCCUUUCUGAUUUCCUCUUCACCACUUCUUUCCCUGAUUCAUUUCUCUUUGAGAUACAAGCUGGAAUCUAUUUAGGGUAUCUAGAGGGUAAGAUAAGGAUCAGAUUAUCUUCAUCAGUGGAAUUGGCAGAUGGCGUAAUGUCUUGGGUCAGCUGCAUUCAGCCCAGCACCAACUUAAUUCACUGAUUUCUAAAAUAGAACAGGAACCUUCUGAUUAUUGGUCAACAUAAGACUAUGCAAAAUCAUAAAUUAUAAUAUUGGAAACAUCUGUAUAGAUGUAAUUGCUUUUGGACUAAUAAAGGUUAUUGAAAAAACAAAUGCUGAAUUAUUAUUACAAUGUGAUUACAGUAUAAUGAGAUUUAGAGCAAUCAAGGUGGGUUUAAUAAACCAUGGUAACAAUCGAAAUCUCAUACAAUAUGGCCAGGUCAUUGUAAGCACACAGUUUCUAUCUAUGUGCCCCAUUAUGGCAAAAAACUAUACGGGAGUUCCCUCAAAUUAUUUUUCAAUAGAUCUGCCUACUCAUCAUUUUGUAUGUAUAUUAUAUAGCGUUAAGAGGGUUUCCGAGUUUUUGAUUGAGUGGACUUCAAAGACAAACUCACUUCUUUCCCUUUACCGCCUUUCUUUUCUUUUACAGCUCGGCAUGGUUUGGGCCCCGGGACUUCUUCGGAGGCUGCAGGCCAUGAUAGAACCUAAAACGGCAGAUGCCGGAGAAUGAGUCCUAACACUUAAGGCUUUUAAACAUUUAUCUAUUGAUAACUCACGUGACCUUUUCCUCCAAUAUCGUCAGAUAAAGGCCUUGACUGAAGAAUCGUUUUAGGCCUCCCAGAUCACUCACAACGUAUGUUUUUGUGUCACUGAAGUCAAUGCAGUCUGACCAUUUCAGCUUUGAUGUGCUAUGUCUUGUCACUGUAGAAAUUAGAUAGUCCAAUUGUCGAUAUUGCGUGUAUAAAAACACAUUUCUUAGAUACAUACAGCUGUGACAGAAUAAAAAAACCUCAGACUGAGUGGAGAGUUAAGAAAAGUGUUACAAGAUAAUGACUGAUCACUAAUCAGUCAUCCAGUUUCACUGUGUGUACAACUCUCUUCUGACUGUAUUUCUUCUCGGAAGUUCACGGGAACUGAUAAGAAAAAGUUCCUCUCACUUCUACACGAUACAUUACUAAAUUAAAUAAAUACUGGCUUUGUUUCCAAACUUUUUUGUAUCAUUCCGUGGAAACAUAUGUGUCAGCUCUAUCAGCGUUUAUGAUGUAAUCCGGUUUCCUGUAGGAGAUAGAAUGAGUUGAUUUACCAUGGGCAAUAUCAUGGCAGGUUUCCUCAGUAACCACCGUCAAUGCUUGCGUGUAGGGUUUGGACGAUUCUUUCUCACAACUUUUGUUGGAUUGUAGACCGGCAGAACUGAAGCAGUCCUCUGUUACAUGUGCUGCAAAUUUAGACUCACUGUCAAAAUUCUGUAAAACAGCAACACAAAAAAAUAAAACAGUUUA
Long non-coding RNA from Eleginops maclovinus (Patagonian blennie), 2538 nucleotides. RefSeq lists it as uncharacterized. The transcript has 3 exons. The record is from RefSeq and is a predicted model, not a curated record. NCBI's taxonomy places the organism in Eukaryota, Metazoa, Chordata, Actinopteri, Perciformes, Eleginopidae.